RNAcentral lists this ribosomal RNA (497 nucleotides) under uncultured bacterium. Its description in RNAcentral is "partial 16S ribosomal RNA". It matches the Rfam family "Bacterial small subunit ribosomal RNA", at positions 28 to 507 of the family's 1533-position model. The record is from RNAcentral.
GAUGAACGCUGGCGGCGUGCUUAAUACAUGCAAGUCGAGCGAACAGAUGAGGAGCUUGCUCCUCUGACGUAAGGGGCGGAUGGGAGAGUAGCAAGUGGCUAACCUACCUAUAAUACCGGGGUAACUUCGGGACACAGGAGCUAAUAGCGGAUAAUAUGUUGGACCGCAUGGGUAAAUAGUUAUAGGCGGUUGUGCUGCUCCUGAUCGAUGAGUCCGCGCCGCAUUAGCUAGUUGGUAAGGUAACGGCUUAGUAAGGCGACGAUGCGUAGCCGACCUGAGAGAGGGAUCGCCCGCACGAGAGCUGAGACGGGGACCAGGCGCCUGCGGGAGGCAGCAGUAGGCAAUCGUCCGCAAUAGGCGAAAGCCUGACGGAGCAGCGCGACGUGAGAGAUGGAGGUCUUCGGAGCGUGAAGAACUGUUUUGAGUGAUAAACAAAUUUGUAAGUGACUGUGCACUUCUUGACGGUACCUGAUCAGAAAGCCACGGCUAACUACGUG